Molecule: ribosomal RNA, 912 nt
Filed under: uncultured soil bacterium
Lineage: Bacteria
Description: bacterial SSU rRNA
Rfam family: Bacterial small subunit ribosomal RNA
Source: RNAcentral
AGAGUUUGAUCCUGGCUCAGAACGAACGUUGGCGGCGUGGAUUAGGCAUGCAAGUCGAACGAAUCCCAGCUGGGUAACUGGCUGGGGGAAGUGGCGAAAGGGGCAGUAACGCGUGGGUAACGUACCUCGGGGAUCGGGAUAGCCAUUCUAACGAGUGGGUAAUACCGGGCGAUCUGGCGUGGAGACAUCUCCGUGCCAGGAAAUGAAUUUCGCCUCGAGAGCGGCUCACGUAGUAUUAGCUUGUUGGCGGGGUAACGGCCCACCAAGGCCAAGAUGCUUAGCAGGUGUGAGAGCACGACCUGCGCCACUGGCACUGAGACACUGGCCAGACUCCUACGGGAGGCUGCAGUCGAGGAUCUUCGGCAAUGGGCGCAAGCCUGACCGAGCGACGCCGCGUGUGCGAUGAAGGCCUUCGGGUUGUAAAGCACUGUCGAGGGGGAGAAAAGCCCGCAAGGGUCUGAUCUAUCCCUGGAGGAAGCACGGGCUAAGUUCGUGCCAGCAGCCGCGGUAAGACGAACCGUGCGAACGUUGUUCGGAAUCACUGGGCUUAAAGGGCGCGUAGGCGGGUCUCCAAGUCAGGGGUGAAAUACUUCGGCUCAACCGGAGAAGUGCUUUUGAUACUGGGGACCUCGAGGGGUGUAGGGGCAUGUGGAACUUCCGGUGGAGCGGUGAAAUGCGUAGAUAUCGGAAGGAACGCCGGUGGCGAAAGCGACGUGCUGGACACCUUCUGACGCUGAGGCGCGAAAGCCAGGGGAGCAAACGGGAUUAGAUACCCCGGUAGUCCUGGCCCUAAACGAUGGGUACUGGAUUGUGGGCUGACAUGGGUUCACAGUCGGAGCAAAAGUGUUAAGUACCCCGCCUGGGGAGUAUGGUCGCAAGGCUGAAACUCAAAGGAUUGACGGGGGCUCACAC